UGGGGAAUAUUGCACAAUGGAGGGAACUCUGAUGCAGCGACGCCGCGUGAACGAAGAAGGCUUUCGAGUCGUAAAGUUCUUUUAUAUGGGAAGAUAAUGACGGUACCAUAAGAAAAAGCCCCGGCUAACUACGUGCCAGCAGCCGCGGUAAUACGUAGGGGGCUAGCGUUGUCCGGAAUCACUGGGCGUAAAGGGGUCGCAGGCGGAAAUGCAAGUCAGGUGUAAAAGGCAGUAGCUUAACUACUGUAAGCAUUUGAAACUGCAUAUCUUGAGAAGAGUAGAGGUAAGUGGAAUUUUUAGUGUAGCGGUGAAAUGCGUAGAUAUUAAAAAGAAUACCGGUGGCGAAGGCGACUUACUGGGCUCAUUCUGACGCUGAGGAACGAAAGCGUGGGUAGCAAACAGG
RNAcentral lists this ribosomal RNA (403 nucleotides) under Fusobacteriota bacterium. RNAcentral describes it as "Fusobacteria bacterium partial 16S ribosomal RNA". It matches the Rfam family "Bacterial small subunit ribosomal RNA", at positions 355 to 776 of the family's 1533-position model. Lineage: Bacteria; Fusobacteriati; Fusobacteriota. The record is from RNAcentral.